AGGAAAGAGAGGGAUUCGAC
This 20-nucleotide transfer RNA is filed under the name Calyptrochaeta brownii. Its description in RNAcentral is "partial tRNA-Ser". RNAcentral also lists the same sequence under 1 other name. The record is from RNAcentral. Lineage: Eukaryota; Viridiplantae; Streptophyta; Bryopsida; Hookeriales; Daltoniaceae.